RNAcentral lists this ribosomal RNA (208 nucleotides) under uncultured bacterium. RNAcentral describes it as "partial 16S ribosomal RNA". It matches the Rfam family "Bacterial small subunit ribosomal RNA", at positions 338 to 543 of the family's 1533-position model. The record is from RNAcentral.
CCUACGGGAGGCAGCAGUGAGGAAUAUUGGUCAAUGGCCGAGAGGCUGAACCAGCCAAGUAGCGUGCAGGACGACGGCCCUACGGGUUGUAAACUGCUUUUGCGGGAGGAUAAAGUGCGCCACGCGUGGCGCUUUGCAGGUAUCCCGUGAAUAAGCAACGGCUAAUUACGUGCCAGCAGCCGCGGUAAUACGGAAGGUCCGGGCGUUA